GAUGAACGCUGGCGGCGUGCCUAAUACAUGCAAGUCGAACGAAACUUCUUUAUCACCGAGUGCUUGCACUCACCGAUAAAGAGUUGAGUGGCGAACGGGUGAGUAACACGUGGGCAACCUGCCCAAAAGAGGGGGAUAACACUUGGACACAGGUGCUAAUACCGCAUAACCAUAGUUACCGCAUGGUAACUAUGUAAAAGGUGGCUAUACUACCGCUUUUGGAUGGGCCCGCGGCGCAUUAGCUAGUUGGUAGGGUAAAGGCUUACCAAGGCAAUGAUGCGUAGCCGAAUUGAGAGGUUGAUCGGACACAUUGGGACUGAGACACGGCCCAAACUCCUACGGGAGGCAGCAGUAGGGAAUCUUCCACAAUGGGCGAAAGCCUGAUGGAGCAACGCCGCGUGGGUGAAGAAGGUCUUCGGAUCGUAAAACCCUGUUGUUAGAGAAGAAAGUGCGUGAGAGUAACUGUUCACGUUUCGACGGUAUCUAACCAGAAAGCCACGGCUAACUACGUG
RNAcentral lists this ribosomal RNA (512 nucleotides) under uncultured bacterium. Its description in RNAcentral is "partial 16S ribosomal RNA". It matches the Rfam family "Bacterial small subunit ribosomal RNA", at positions 28 to 507 of the family's 1533-position model. The record is from RNAcentral.